Long non-coding RNA from Syngnathoides biaculeatus (alligator pipefish), 1491 nucleotides. RefSeq lists it as uncharacterized. The record is from RefSeq and is a predicted model, not a curated record. The transcript is spliced from 4 exons. Lineage: Eukaryota; Metazoa; Chordata; Actinopteri; Syngnathiformes; Syngnathidae.
UAUUCGUACGGUACAUACAAUUAAGAACAGAGCCUAUUCCCUAUAUCUGUACAUUUUAUAAGCAUCAAAAAGUACUCCAAAUGUUAUGUUUCAAUGUCUAUGUUUAUAUUUUAGCAUUUGUAACGCAUGCAUGAUCAUUAUUUCCAUUGCAUCGACUGUAAACACGAUGGUUUAAUUUACAGCGAAGCGAACCGACAAGUCCUACACAUUCUGAUAGAGUGUAUGUGUGUGUUUUGGGCAACAAGUCCUCUAAUCAUAGCAGGUGGUAAAUUUCCAUCCAUCCAUCCAUCCAUUUUUUUCACCAUUUAUCCUCACGAGGGUCAGGGAGAGUCCUGCAGCCUAUCCGAGCUGUGAACGGGCAGGAGGCAGGGUACACCUUGAACUGGUUGCCAGCCAGUCGCAGAGUAAAUAGAGACAAACAGCCAGACUCGCAAUCACACCUAGGGGCAAUUUCGAGUGUCCAAUUAAUGUUUCAUGUUUUUGGGAUGUGGGAGGAAACCCGAGUGCCCGGAGGAAACUCACGCAGGCACGGGGAGAACAUGGAAACGCCACACAGGCGGGUCCGGGAUCGAACCCGGGUCCUCAGAACUGCGAGGCCAACGGUUUACCAGCUGCCUCACCGUGCCGCCCAGAUACGUGUUGGUCCCCUGAAGGGUCAUCGGUCCCGGAUUACAACCCAAAACCCGAACCACGCGGGCAGACAGCUGCUCGAUACGGGGAAUGAGCGCACUCAUUGCCGAACCGAACCGAUUCUGAACAACGACGAAGGAGCACUAAGGGCAGCAAGCGACCAGGAAGGCAACCGGAAACAGCGUGGUGGAUUGUUUACUUCCGACUUUCAAGCAGCCUUCACAGGGGAGAUCAGCUGUGCAAAGAACCCCCCCCCCCAACCCCAAAGCACACCGUGACUGACCGCUCAUCCAGACGAUUGGUCACCCUGCCCCUGUUGCGCCACUCCAUGAUUGGAGAGUUUGCAAGAGGAGACGUGCAACGCAUUAUGGAUGCUGGUUUGCUCGACUGGGAGCCAAUCUGAAAUGCUGAUGAGUGCAGUGGGAAGUGGGACACUGUCUCUGCCAUAAACCUAUCUUUGGCUGGCGCAGAAGACCUUGUUUAUACCUCAAGUGUGACAUCACAAAUAAACAAUCGAUUGAUGCACUGAUAACACACCAAAGACAUCAUUGAUAAUCCUGGGUUAUUAAAAAAAAAGUGUUUUUCAGCCGAUUAAGGACAAUUUUGCAUCUGAAAAUGAGAUCCGCUUUUAUGCCAAGUUGAUUUUUUUUUUUUCAAUUACGUACAUUUUUUUGUGACAACAUUGGUCAUUUUGACAAACUUUUCUUAUGCUUAAUUGAUUGAAUACGACUCUGUGUAUUUUAUUUCUUACAAGGAAGGAGUCACACACCCCAGUGGUGAAAAUGGGUGAUGCGCAAAAAUACCUACAAACACGCAUACACAAAAAUGUAAAAAACAAAAAAAAAGAAAAGAAAAUAAUUG